UGGCAGGUUCUAACCAGGAGAGA
Molecule: non-coding RNA, 23 nt
Filed under: Mus musculus (house mouse)
Lineage: Eukaryota; Metazoa; Chordata; Mammalia; Rodentia; Muridae
Source: RNAcentral